AGGACAAACGCUGGCGGGGUGCAUGAGACAUGCAAGUCGAACGAGGUGCCAUCGGGCUUGCUCGAUGGUUACCUAGUGGCGGACGGCUGAGUAACGCGUAGGUGACCUACCCGGAAGUGGGGAAUAACUGCCCGAAAGGGUGGCUAAUACCGCAUGUGGUCGGCGAUUCGAUUCGCCGUCUAAAGGAGCAAUUCGCUUCCGGAGGGGCCUGCGUCCGAUUAGCUAGUUGGUGGGGUAACGGCUCACCAAGGCGACGAUCGGUAGCUGGUCUGAGAGGAUGAUCAGCCAGACUGGGACUGAGAACGGCCCAGACUCCUACGGGAGCAGCAGUCGGGAAUUUGCCCAAUGGACGAAAGUCUGAGGCAGGCAACGUCCGCGUGAGGAUGAAGGCUCUCGGGUACGUAAACCUUCUUUUCGCGUAGGAAGAGUACCGAAAGUACGGUAACCUGAAGGAAUAAGCGAACGGCUAACUACGUCGCCAGC
This 483-nucleotide ribosomal RNA is filed under the name uncultured soil bacterium. RNAcentral's name for it is "bacterial SSU rRNA". It matches the Rfam family "Bacterial small subunit ribosomal RNA", at positions 26 to 512 of the family's 1533-position model. The record is from RNAcentral.